AAAACUCAGAUGUGAUAAUUUAACUUGAAUGGAGGGAAGUUCAACAACUACACCUUCUAUGAGAACACAGACGAGAAGUUCCACACAAUAAAAAAGUGGAUAAGCUAAAACCCUAACCCCAUCUUCGUAAGAAAGAACCCUCUAGAUUUUAAGUAGAAAAAACUCAACCACAUCAACUGGUACUUUAUGAUGUCUCUCACCACGGCAGCUCUCACGCUGCCGCAAAUAUCACCGGUCAUGUGUUUGGCGGCACUUCGUCGGCAGGAAGCUACUGUGAAAACAACAGACCAAAAGCCAGCACAAAACUUAGGUUUCCGCGGAGGCAAGAAAAAGGAAUCGCCAUGGCAUUGUGUAGAAGGCUGUGGGGCUUGCUGUAAGCUUCAAAAAGGUCCUUCUUAUCCAUCCCCGGAAGAAAUUUUCACCAACACUUCAGAUGUUGAGCUCUACAAUAGUUUAAUAGGACCAGAUGGAUGGUGUAUUCAUUAUGAAAAGAGUACUCGAAAAUGUUCCAUUUACUCUGAUCGUCCAUAUUUCUGUCGUGCGGAGCCUGAGGUGUUUAAAUCGUUAUUCGGAGUUAAAGAGAAGAAUUUCAACAAAGAGGCUUGCAGUUCCUGUAGAGACUCGAUUAAGGCCGUUUAUGGUUCCAAUUCAAAGGAGCUUCAUAGUUUUGACAAAUCAAUCAAGAGUUCUUCUGGUUAGAGUUUUGGAUUCUCAAUUGCUCAAGGUCAUAUAUCGUGUUUUGCCUUUAUUAAUCAUCACUUGGUGCUGUCUUUUGAGUAGCAACAUGGACCGCCAGAGGCUAAACCCGAAUUACAGGAAAACAUGAACUCCAACUAUGAGACUAUAGUCUGCUCAAACUCAUAAUACCAAUGAGCCAAUAAACUUGAUGUCAUAAUAUUGUUUCUGUUAGAUUGUUGAGCAGAUUACUACAUCCUAGUCCUAUUUUGUAUAUACAAAUUUAUGGAUCGGGAUAGUUACACAUGUCAAACUGAAAGAAAAUAAUUUUUCAUCCUAUUUUAUAAGCAAAACAUUAUGGUUAACCUUACUCUGUACAAAAAGUAUCUAUUGUUUACUAUCAUUAUAUUAACGAACUAUCAAGAUCCAGAU
RNA transcript from Lathyrus oleraceus (garden pea), 1107 nucleotides. RefSeq lists it as uncharacterized. NCBI's taxonomy places the organism in Eukaryota, Viridiplantae, Streptophyta, Magnoliopsida, Fabales, Fabaceae. The transcript is spliced from 5 exons. The record is from RefSeq and is a predicted model, not a curated record.